RNAcentral lists this ribosomal RNA (524 nucleotides) under uncultured bacterium. Its description in RNAcentral is "partial 16S ribosomal RNA". It matches the Rfam family "Bacterial small subunit ribosomal RNA", at positions 28 to 523 of the family's 1533-position model. The record is from RNAcentral.
GACGAACGCUGGCGGCGUGCCUAAUACAUGCAAGUCGAGCGCAGGAAAUCGACGGAACCCUUCGGGGGGAAGUCGAUGGAAUGAGCGGCGGACGGGUGAGUAACACGUAAAGAACCUGCCCUCAGGUCUGGGAUAACCACGAGAAAUCGGGGCUAAUACCGGAUGGGUCAUCGGACCGCAUGGUCCGAGGAUGAAAGGCGCUUCGGCGUCGCCUGGGGAUGGCUUUGCGGUGCAUUAGCUAGUUGGUGGGGUAAUGGCCCACCAAGGCGACGAUGCAGAGCCGACCUGAGAUGGUGAUCGGCCGUACUGGGACUGAGACACGGCCCAGACUCCUACGGGAGGCAGCAGUAGGGAAUCUUCCACAAUGGACGAAAGUCUGAUGGAGCAACGCCGCGUGAACGAUGAAGGCCUUCGGGUCGUAAAGUUCUGUUGUAAGGGAAGAACAAGUGCCGCAGGCAAUGGCGGCACCUUGACGGUACCUUGCGAGAAAGCCACGGCUAACUACGUGCCAGCAGCCGCCGCCG